Molecule: ribosomal RNA, 456 nt
Filed under: uncultured bacterium
Lineage: Bacteria
Description: bacterial SSU rRNA
Rfam family: Bacterial small subunit ribosomal RNA
Source: RNAcentral
AACCUGCCUCUAUCUUGGGCAUAACCCGGAGAAAUCUGGGACAAUUCCCAAUAGGCAUGGGGGGUCAUAAGACAUUCCCAUGUAAAGUUCCGACGGAUAGAGAGGGGCCUAUGGCUCAUCAGCUAGUUGGUAGGGUAAUGGCCUACCAAAGCUACGACGAGUAGCAGGUGUGAGAGCACGAUCUGCCCCACUGUGACUGAGACACUGUCCAGACUCCUACGGGAGGCUGCAGUCAAGAAUCUUCCUCAAUGGACGAAAGUCUGAAGGAGCAAUGCCGCGUGAUCGAUGAAGCUCUUCGGAGUGUAAAGGUCUAUUAUCCAAGGACGAAUUCGCUGACGGUACCUGAAGGAAUAAGUCACUGCUAACUUCGUGCCAGGAGCAGCGGUAAUACGAAGGUGGGCAAGCGUUACCCGGAAUGAUUUGGGCGUAAAGCGUCCGCAGACGGGUCAGAAAAGU